CGCCGCCGUUCCAUCCGGGUAUCGGCCUGUGUCUGGAAGUCCCAAGGAACUCCUGCCAUUGGUUCAAACAUCACCCCAUGUGGACUCUCCCCUCCACUGCCUGCAAUUACUGAGCCUCACUAUAAGUAAGCUGUUAUUCCUGCUGUUCCUCUGGAUGACUGUUUCUUGGGUUGGUAGCUCUGGCAUGGAAAUACCCUUGCGGUGCUAUUUAGGAGGGACCCCUCGAUGUAGCAACUUAGCACAUCUGUUUCCUGCCAUGAAGACUUAUCACAUGAGGAUGUUAUCUGCAAUAUCACUGUGAAAGCAGAGGACCCUGUCCUCAUUGCAGCCAAUGGUAGGAAGUCUCCUGUUCCAUGUUAUUUGGCUUUGGGGUGUCUACUCAGAGGUGGUAGGAAGUCUCCUGUUCCAUGUUAUUUGGCUUUGGGGUGUCUACUCAGAAGCCAGGAAAAGCAAGCAAACAGCACACAAAUCCAGAUGUGUACCUGCCAAUAUCAUUCCCAGCAGCCCACAAAGGUGCAAUUACUGGUGGUGUCAUUAUAAUAUAAGGACUGUUUGGCACCUCUGUUGGCACCUAAGAAUGUGACGUUUGUGUCCAAGCCUAAUGGCCACCUAUAUUGCUCAUUUGAGGAUUGCUUACUCUGCACAGCAAUAUAAGUCUUCAGUGCACACCUUUAUUCACUAGAGCGCUGCUCCUCAGUCAGACAAGCUGUCUUGGUCAUACCCAUCUGAACAUCAGAGGAACCAUAAUUAACUGUGCAUCUGUGGAUUAUGUUACAAGACCUGCACAAGGAAUUUGACUUCAUUAAAGACACAGUAAGAGGCAAUGUAAUAAUGAGAAUGUCAACAGGUCCAGAUUAGAAAAAGGAGAAAUACUGCACAAGACUACACUAAUCAAUACUGUGACAGACUUUUUUUUUUUUUGGUCAUGCCCUGCAGGAUCUUAGUUCCCUAACCAGGGAUCAACCCAGGCCCACAGCAGUGAAAGUGCUGAGUCCUAACCACUGGAUGCCAGGAAAUUACUGGAAAAGAAGGGAAUAUUUUAGACAGGAACAAAGUUCUUAUCAAAAUGUUGGAAAUGGGAUUGCCCAUUUUAUAAUUUGCAGACAGAAAAUAAAACAGCUUGGCCAGAGCAAAGAAUUUGUGUGGGGAAUUUUGGAAGGUAAAGCUGGAGAUGUAGAACUGGGGCAGAUCAUGGGGAACCAUGAAUGUGAACAUCUGCUUAGCAGCAGGGUCCUAGUUUGUCAGAAAUGCUGAAUCUACCUUUCAAAAGCUGACCGAAUACACUGAGUUGGUAAAUAACUCUACUCGAUUGGCAGGAAGAAAACACUUGCAGGAUUUUAACCCUAACAUAUGCUCCCCUUAAACAGACACCUAAAACCGUCAGCUAUACUAUAAAUAAGCAUAAUCUCACACUUUAUUAUGCAUUAUAGAACACAAUGAUAAAAUACUUCCCAUAAUGAACACCUUUAGGUUCCUUUUUACAACUUCCAGAAUUCUCCAUCAUGAGGACAAAUUCACCUAGUAAAGGAAUUUCAAACUAUCUUUCCUUGACAUUCUGCUGAAAGAUUUUGAUUAAAAGUAUAGGAAACAACAGGGCAUAGUUGACAUUGACAAUAGCAGUUUCCAUGCAUUACUGGGCAUGAAAGCCAGAUUGGAAUAGGCUCAAGAAAAAAAAAUAAGGGACUUCCUAGGUGGCACAGUGGUUAAGAAUCUGCCUGCCAAUGCAGGGGACAUGGGUUUAAUCCCUGCCCCAGGAAGAUACCACAUGCUGUGGAGCAACAAAGCCCAUGCGCCACAACUAUUGAGCCUGCACUCUAGAGUCCCUGCUCUCAGCGACUAGAGAAAGCCUGUUCACAGCAACAAAGACCCAACGCAGCCAAUAAAUAAAUUUAUUUUAAAAAAUAAUAAAAAAUAAAUAAGAAAAGAGGAUGUCACGAUAGUAGGUUUAGGAAAAUUAGAGUUUUUAAAUUGAGAUAUAAUGUACAUACCAAAACAUACAUCGUUUUAAAAUAUACAACCCGGUGGUUUUUAGUAUACUCAUAAGGUGGUGUAACCAUCACCACUAAUUCCAGAACCUUUUCAUCCCCCCAAAAAGAAACCCUAACCCUUACCCACUGGCAAUCAUGCCUCAUUCCCUUCAUCCCCCAGUCCCUUUCAAUCACUGAUCUACUUUCUGUCUCUAUGGAUUUGCCUGUUAUGGACAUUUCACAUAAAAGGAAUCCUACAAUAUGUGGCCUUUUGUAUCUGGCUUCUUUCACUUAGCAUGUUUUCAAGGUUCAACCUGCUGUAGCAUGUAUCCAUACUUCAUCCCUUUUUAUGGCUAAAGAACGUUCCACUGUAUGUAUACACCACAUUUUGCUUAUCCAUUCAUUUGUUGAUGGACAUUUGGGUUGUUUCUAUUUUUUGGCUAUUAUGAACAAUGCUGCUGUGAACAUCCAUGUACAAGUUUUUGUGUGAACAAAUGUCUUCAAUUUUCUUGGGUACAUUGCUGAAGUGGAAUUGCUGGGUCAUUUGAUGACACUAUGUUUAACUUUUUGUGGGAUCAUCAAACUGUUUUCCACAAUGGCUGCACCAUUUUACAUUCCCACCAGCCAUGUAUGAGGGUUCUAAUUUCUCUACAUCCUCACGAACACUUUUUCUUUAAAAAAAUUAUAAUCAUCAUAGUGGGUAUGACUUUAGAGAGUUUUGCUGUGAAGAAAAGCAAAGAAUUGGGCUGGUGGCUAGAGAGGGUGGUUGUAUCAAGCUCUUUUUGUUUUUGUUUUUUAUUUUAAGAUGGGAUAUAUUAUCACUUGUUUGUAUGCUGAUGGAAGUAAUCUAGUAGAGAAGGGAAAAUGGAUUAUGUAGGAGACAGGUUGGACAGUUGUGGGAGCCAUGUUCUUGAGUAGGAGAGGGGGUAGGUCCAAAUGACAAGUGGAAGAAUUGGCUUUACAUGGGAGCAGUUUACCAAAUAUGGUGGUGCUAUGGUCUGAAUGCUUGUGUCUCCCCCAAGUUCAUAUAUUGAAAACUAAACCCCAAGGUGAUUAAAUUAAGAUGCAGGCCUUUGGGGUGAUUGGCUUAUGAGGGUGGGGCUUCAUGAUUGGGAUUAGUGCCCUUAUAAAAGAGACCCUGCAGAGAUUCCUCAUCUUUUCUACCAUGUGAGGACACAGCAAGAAGUCAGCAGUCUGCAGCCCACAAGAAGGCCUUUACCAGAACCUGACCAUACUGGCACCCUGAACAUGGACUUCCAGCCUUCAGAAAUGUGAGAAAUGAACUUCUGUUUAAGCUACCCAGUCUGUGGUACUUUGUUAUAGCAGCCCGAAUGGACUAAAACAGAUGGGAAGGCAGAGCAGGAGUACAGACGAAAGUAGGAUGAUAGCUUGGUGGUGAGCAUUUAUAGAAAUCCCCUUUGUGCUGUUUUUCCCAGUGAAAUGAGCAGCUGAGAUUGAGGAAGGGCAGGAGAUAUUAAAGAUCUGAAGAGAAAAAGGAGGGUGUAAUGUAAUCUUUUAGGAUGAAAUUGACUAGAUAGAGUAGGACAGCUAGAAGUCACUUGAGGUUAGUGAUCAUGAGUUCAAAAGGAGACCAGUCAGUAUUAUUUUUUUCUCCAACAUCUGAUCUUCUCUUACCAUAGAGUUUUUCAGUAUUUAAAUGAAUGAAAAAUAAAGUAAGUUAAUACUGAAUUUAUGUUGCAUGCAAAGAAAUGUUUUAUGCCAGAUUUUAUUUAAAGACCACUUAAGAAGAAAGGAUAGCACACCCUAGUUCAAUUUUUCUGAUUAAGGUAAUUAGAAUAAACAAGGAUUUCAUUUUAGUGCCUUUAUUUCUCUUGAGGAUGACAUUGCUGAAUAAAGCAGGAUUUAACACUGACAACUAGUUUUGAAUCUGUCCAUCUACAUGUUAUUUUCAGAAAAGGAGGAAACCAGAAGUAAAGGAUAGCUGAAAGAUCUGAUAGUCUCUAGAAAUUUCUUUCUAAAAUUCUGAACUGUGCUUGAUUAUCAUUCAACAAGCAUUUUCUCCAUAUAUCCUUUUUUACCAGUUACAGGAAAAAACAAUUAAACAUGAUUCUUACCUCAAGGCAGGUACACUUUUUGUUUGUUUAUUUUUUGUUGUUGGUUUUUUUUGGCCAAACUGCACAGCUUGCAGGAUAUCAGUUCCCUGACCCAGGCCCCAGCAGUGAAAGCGCUGAGUCCAAACCACUGGACCACCAGGGAAUUCCCAAGGCAGAUAUACUUUUAUUUGAACCAACUCUUUCAGAGAACUUGGUCCUAUGUAGCAUCACAUAAAAUUAGCACUGAUAAUGAGAGAAUGUUAUGAAAUUUUUGAAAUAAAAAGCCCAAACAUUAAGACAUUAUAUAUAAAGUCUUUCUGGUAGGACUUCUACUUUUUUUUAACAGUAAACAUGUGCUCAUAAAGACUGCUUUGUCACAACUACAAUUGUGCUUCAUGGAAUUUUAGCUAGGAUACACUAUUAGAUUCUUAAGAUUUUUAUACUUCCAUUUUUGAGGUCCAUUUGGUGUUUCUGCAGAAUUAACAAUCUUGUGAACCUCACAGUGCUUGUGAUUCAGACUUCCACUGAGAUCAAGGUCAGCACCCUGUAGUCACUCGAGUGCAGAGGACACAGAUGGACACUGUGUGGCAGUGUUUAAAUGCUCUUCCCAAAGCUAAUGCCACAGCCCUGUGUAUUGAUUGCAAAUACGUCCCAGGGUUACAUUUCUAUUUUCUAUUGCUCUGUUUAUCACAUUUUGCUUAGAUAAAUGGUCAAAAUGAAUUCCAUUACUUAAGAAAUGCAAAAACACAAUUUAGUCACUGAAUGUGGUUGUAUGUGGGUUACCACUGUGGGGAAUCUUGGUUUGGCCAAAGUAUUAUUUUCAAUGAAAAAU
Hippopotamus amphibius kiboko is the source of this 4853-nucleotide long non-coding RNA. RefSeq lists it as uncharacterized. The transcript is spliced from 2 exons. Lineage: Eukaryota; Metazoa; Chordata; Mammalia; Artiodactyla; Hippopotamidae. The record is from RefSeq and is a predicted model, not a curated record.